GGACGCCCUUCUGCUGCCAAAGCUGGCUGGUGGUUCUUUCUGGAAUGGCAGCUUUCCCCAUCCCCCUUCAGGCUUGGGUCGAUCUUCUGGCAGGCAAACGUACUAAAGAGUUACAGGUGGUGCAGAUACGGUUUGGAAGGAAUCCCAGCUGGGCCUCCUCCCAGAAGCCUUCUGAUCACUCACCAGAUAACUCUAGCUGCUUGCAGAGUCCUGGGAAUCUUAGCUUCUCCAGGAAACCAGCUUCAAGGGCAACAAGAGGUUCUGAGGAGCUAGAAUAAUCUCGGAAGCUGAAACUGCUUUGUCCUUUUGCUUCCUUAGGUUGGAAAUAUUUUUGCAAUACCACUGAAUCCUCCAGUUUUUACCCCUUACGAUGGGAAGUGAAUACAGUAUGAAAAGGGAGUGGGACAUAUGAGAGGAACGACAGGCUCAAAAUAUGAAGACUUAAUCCAGACACCUCUGUGUCUCUGAACUUGCGUUGUUUCUUCUUUGGAGGUGAAGUACACAUCGUUUUACUCCGGGCAGAGGACUUGUGCUCCUUUUGAGAACUUUCAGCUCUGUAGUGUCGAGUCUUCUGGUUUCCAGAUCCACAUCCUGCCCUGGGGGAAUUGACAUCCAUCAGUGUCUUUGUGUGCAUGAGUGGGUUUGUGGGAGGUGAAGAGCAGAGGGAGAAAAAGAGAGAGAAGAGGAGGGUGAGAGAGAGGAACAGAAGACCUGGCUGUACUCCUGAAUAACACUGACUUCUUCUAGGAAAGCACUCUGAAGCCAAGUUGAAACAUUAUACUCUCAGGCAGUAGUAGAGAUCAACCUCUUAAAACCAAAUCCAUGGGCCCAGGAGUAUGGAAAAGAGUUCAAUAAAAUGGCCUUAACUGGUAUAAGAAGUUACAAUUGUUAAAAGGAGAUUCAGCUGUGAUAGCAAAAGAGAAAGAAAAUGAAAAAGUUGUCCUGGCUCAUCUCUGGAAAGACAUGAUAUUUCAUAACCUCAAGGUGUUUGCUUCUGACCUAUAACUUCAAUUAUAGACCAGGUUAUCCAAAAGUUCUCCUUAUUAACAAGGUAUCUGUUUUUACCAGGUGUCUGUUAUUAAUUAGUUAGUAUAUAAUUUAAUGCAAUUAACCAAAGCACCUCUUAUGCCUAGAACAUAGCAGGUGGUUUACUUCUUUCUUAUGACAUAUUCAAGACUCAUGGUUUUCCCAUUUUUAGAGUCAAAAACAUAAAUUCCUCCUUUUGCUUUCCUGCGCUAACAUAUCCACCUCACACACCUGUUUACUCUUUGUUUGCAGGGAAAUGUGUACAUCUGCUAGGGCGUGAUCUCGAUGAUGAGGUGACAUAUGGGAUGUCAUUCCAUUAUUUAAAGAACAAAUUCCAAAGAUCAAACUUUUCUCCCCACACUUGUGAGUGAUACAUGGGUCUUCUCAGGGACAUUAAAAUGGAGCUAGUCUCACUGAUUUCAUGGACAUUUAGCAUACAAUUAUUGAGUUACCUGCUGAAAUCUCUUCAUACAUAUCUGGUUUCACCCUAGGUUAUGAAUAUCCAUGCAGACUAUUUUUCCAAGCUUCUACGCAACUAACCUUGGCACUUACCCCCAGCUCAGGCAGCAAGCAAAUUAUUCUGGCUUGAUGUCCAUCUGAUGGUUUACUCUUGCUACCUCCUACUCCCUACUAUAACCACAAAUGACCUCCUCCCCACUUGCUCUCAUUCUUACCAGAAGUUUUCAGUUAACAGCUCACUACUAAGCCAGUUUCCUUCUUAAAGUAUAUAUAUCCUUUUAAAAUUUCCAGUCUUGUUACUCUCUCUCUUCCUCUUCAAUUUCUUGUCCUGUUGUCACAAGAUCUCUUCUUAGCUCACCAAAUUAUCUUCUCUUCCCUUUCUCUUUUAUUCCAUUUAUGAACAAGACACCAACUUCUACCACAACAACAGAACAAAACAACCCCUAGCUUCAAAGAGAACAAAAAAACCCCAAAAUAAAUUAAAAAUGGCUUUAAUGCUUAGAGUUGCAGGGACAAGAAAAACCACAUUCUUUUAAAAUGAAAUUAGAUGUCAUAAAGGACUAUGAACUAGUAAGAGUUCCCCGAAGUCCCCUUCCGAAUCUCACAAAAGACUCCAUCUCCUUCUUCAUCUGGCUUUUUGUUAAUAACCAAUGUCCAAUAUAAAUAGAAACAUUGCUUUGUUUUGAUUGUAUUGCUCUUUCAUUUGUGCAAAUGGUAGUAUUUCUAUUGUAUCAAUGAUAAACUUUUUCAGGCAAGCCUGAGAUGGCAGAUUACAACAUUAUUUCUAUGGGAACACCCAUUCCUAAUUGGAAACAAUCAGAUUACCAACAGAGAGUUCAUAAACUGAGAGCUGCCUGCAAUGAGAACUGAUUUACACUCUGGUUUCUAAUUUAGAAACAAUUUCACUGUGCUAGUUUCUCCUUUUGCACAAAGAUUUAGGAUGGUGCAGUAGGGUAAGGAAAAAUGGCUUCCCUUCAGUCUGCUAGGUUCUUUGGCUGGGCUACAAAUUAAAUUGCCAUAAAACAGAUUAAUAGGAGAAAACCAUAUUUAAUAACAUGUAUGCAUGGGAGUCCCAUAAAAUAUGGGAUUGGAAGAAGGAUCAGAUGAUUAUAUAGCAUCCUGAGGUACAGAAAGGAGUAGGGGCUUGGCACUUCCAGGGGAUGGUGGCAACACAAGCAAUGGGAGGAUAAGGGGAGACAAUGUAUGGUGAAUAAAUGGUUGUCUUACGCAGACAUAAGGUCUCUCACGUAAUACAAGUUAUCUGGGAGCAGCCCUCAGAAAAAUAGGUGUUAAUCUGUGGGGUCAUGGUGUCCACCUCCAAUCUCCUCUCCUGUGAUCGAAGUUAAUCUUCCUUGGUUGAUAAGAUUCCCAGGGAGGGGAUUCAUGACAAUUUAGUUCCUUUUGGGGGCUGUCUUUAGGAAGACUAAAGGGAGCUCAGAGGAAGCCUCUGCCGGCAUCCACUGUUCCCCAAGUGUCCUCAGUUCAAAGCAAUAAACAUACCAAUGUGUCAUAUUUUGGGGUGGCAUUUCCUGAAUCCCUUUAGUGAAAAAAGGAGAAAAUAAGAAUAGGCACCUCAUAGAAAAAUUUACCUCUAUUUCAAAUAAUGCAUAUUGGGAAAUUGAAUUGAAUGAUGAAGCAAAUAAAAUAUUUAUUUAUUGUAUGUAAUAUAGAUGAGUCAAUGUCGCUUUGAGAAAUUUAACUUUUUAAUUUGCUAACUUGGUGUUUGUAUUGCAUUAGCAAUUGCAAAUGAAUAUUAUUCUCUUGCAAGUGUCAAAAAGAUAAUGUUGUGGGGAAAGCAGCUCCAACUGUUACUCAGGCAUGGCUGGAAAAAGCUUGCACUCUUCAUUGUCUUUUUCUAGUCACUGAAUCGCCAGCUUUAUUUCUAUGGUGGCAGGUAUACCAAAAUCAGAAUGGGAUUACACUCACAUAUUAGUAUAUACAGCAACCUGCCUGUGUGAAAUAUAUGCAAAUCUUCCCCUACAUACCAUGUAGUUAACUCUACAAUGAACAAUAUAUAAAUAUUGUGGGUAAAGUAAAUCAAUAUAAAAUCAUACAUUCACAUUCACAAUAUUUUAAAAAUAUCAAAAUGGUUUUGGCUAAGAACAUAAAACAUUUUAUUUUUGGAAAAGGAAGUCUGUUUCAAUAGUCUUGUUAAAAAUACUACCAUAUAAACUAUGCACUUAAGAUACAAAAAAAGAGUAACACUUAACUUCAUAAGAAAUAUCAAACCAUUUAUUAUAAAUUAUUCAUUAAACGUAGUGAAUUAUUUUAUAUGGGAAAAUUCUCUUUGAAAUAAUAUUUGUAUGGCUUCCUAAAAUCAGACAAGGUUAGCUACACUUGAGUUUCUUACUUUCUUGCAUAUAAGUCAGAAAUAUUCUUUGAAAAGCUCAAAUACAAGAUAAGGUGUAUUCUCCACAUCUCUGUGUGUGUGUGUCGCAUGCAUGCACACACAUUAUCUCCACAUACACACACAUAUACACACACACACACACACGCACACAUCCUUAUUGUUAUUUUCUUCUCAUCUUCUAAAUGUAUUUAUUUGACUCCCAGUAGAAGACAACUGUAAGCUACAGGGAAAAAAUGCAAUUAAAUUUAUGUUCAGAAGAACAUAAACAAUGGGAAUAUGUUCUGAGAAAUUCAUCAUUAGGUGAUUUUGCAUUAUGUGAAUAUCAUAGAGAGUACUUACACAAAUGUAGCUAGUAUAACCUACUACAUACCUAGGCUAUAUGGUCUAGUGGAUUGCUCCUAGGCUACAAAUCUGUACAGAUGUUACUGUACUGAAUACUACAGGUGACUGUAACACAUGUUACGUAUUUGUGUAUCUACACAUAGAAAAGGUACAAUAAAAAUACAGUGUAGAAGAUAAACAAUGGUACAUGUGUAUGGACACUUACCAUAGAUAGAGAUUGCAAGAUGAAAGUUGCUGUGGGUGAGUCAGUGAGUCAAUGGUGAAUGAAUGUGAAGGCCUAGGACAUUGCUGUAAUCUUCUGUAGACUUUAUAUACACUGUACACAUAGGCUACUCUAAAUUUAUUUUAACAAAUUUUCUUCAAUAAUAAAUUAAUCUUAGCUUCCUUAACAUUUGUACUUUGUAAACUUUUUUUUAAACUUUCUCUUUUGUAAUAACACUUAGCUUAAAACACACAUUGCAUAGCUGUACGAAAAUAUUUUCUUUAUAUCCUUAUUUUAUAAAUUUGUAUUUUUAAUUUUUUUUUUACUUUUUAAGCUUUAUCAUUAAAAACUAAGACAUAAACACACAGAUUAGCUUAGGUAUACACAGGGUCAGGGUCGUCAAUAUCACUGUCUUCCACCUCCCCGUACUGUCCCACUAGAAGGUCUUCAAGGAGCAUUAACACACAUGAAGCUGUUUAUCUCCUAUAACAAUGUCUUCUUUAGGAAUACUUACUGAAGGAACUGCCUGAGGCCAUUUUACAGCUAACUAAAAAAAAAAUAAGUCUAAGAAGUACACUCUAAAAUAAUGAUAAAAAAUAUGGUAUUGGAGCUCAGAAAACAGUACCUCAAAAGGAAGGCCUCAGAAGCAAAAGGUUCUCCCUGAUCUUUUGCCAUCCUGUUUCUGGCCACUCAUUCUCUCUUAAGGCUGGCCAUUGAAACUAGAAUCCCUUCUUCCCAAGGCACGUCAUAGAAACCAGAACCCUUUUCCCCAAAGCCAGCUUAAAAAUAUUACUUUAACUUAAAAUAAAAUUUUAAAAUAUUACUUUAACUCCCACCUCACCCCUGCCUUUCUGUAUAAAAAUUGGCCAUAAAAAAUUAUCUCACCUACCUUGUUUGACUGUAGGUCAUAAGACCCCCCAUUCUAGAGAGGCUCCUGCCCCUUACCCAGAAGUAAGGAACGCUGCACAGAAAGGCCAGGAAGAAUCUAAACAGACAGGCCUUACUGGGUUCUCCCACUCAGUCUAUUAGCAUUAGAUCAUACCCUUUUUGUCCAAUCAUAUUUGCACAUGCUAUACAUACUUUGUUGAACCAAAGUAUAAAAAUGGACUGUUUCCUUCAUCUUUGUGUCUUCAUUCUAAAGGCUCCCAAGUCAUGUAAAAUUAUAAUAAAUUUGUAUUUGCCUUUUUUAUUAAUCUGCUGUUUUGUCAGUUGAUUUCCAUCAAACCUUCAGAGGGUGAAGGAGAAGUUUUCCCUGGGUCCCUACAAUAGUAUAGAUAAAUACAUAAACCAGUAACAUAGUCAUUUACUACCACUAUAAAGUAUUAUGUACUGUAUAUAUUUGUAUGUGCUAUACUUUUAUAUGACUGGCAAAGCAAUAGGUUUAUUUACAGCAGCAUCACCACAAACAUAUGAGCAAUGCAUUUUGCUCUGGCAUUAUGAUGGCUACAACAUCACGAGGUCAUAGGAAUUUUUCAGCUCCAUUACAAUCUUAUAGGACCACUAGUGUCAUUAACUGGAAUGUUGUUGUGUGGCACUUGACCAUAUAUGUUUUAAUGUUGAAGAGUGAAUUAAAUUAAUAACAGGGAAUUUCUUUGCUUUGGUUUACUUAAAUGUGAAAAUGGAUUGCUAUUUAAGCAGAGUGUACAAAAUAAAUACUUUUUUCACAUUCUAGUAAAAUGGCCAGUUUAAUAAUAUUUUGAACAAAAAAAAUUCCCCCCAGACCAAGGUGUUUUUUAUUUAAUAGGGAAAAAUAGUGCUAAAAUUUCAAAUGAUUUUUUUUUUCUUUCUUUUCUGUCACUCCUCUGGCUCUUUUUCCCAAUGAAUGAAUGAACCUGGGAAGAAUUAUCAGUCUGAUACGUGGUUUCUGGCAGACAGCUCCAGCUUACAACAGCAUCAACCAACAGACUUGUGAGUGAAGAUGGCUCCUGAAGGUAUCAGCCCCCCGCUGUCCAGUCACCUCCCAGCUUUUGAGUCUUUCCAGCCGAGACCCCAGACACCAAGGCACAGAGACAAACGUCUGCAUUGUAACCUGUCCAAAAUUCUGACCCACAGAGUUCUUGGCAUAAUAUAAUGAUUGUUUUAUGUCACUAAAGUUUGGAGUGGCUUGUCACAUUGCAAUAAAAAAUUGCAACAACGAAGGAGGUUGAUUAUCUUUUCAUGCUUAUUGAUCAUUUGCAUUUCUUCUGUGUACUGUCUAUUCACAAAUUUUGCCUGUUUGACUCUUGGGUUAUUUGUCUUGCUCAUAUUUUCUGCAUAUUAAUCCUACUUUUGUUACCUAUAUUGCAAAUGUAUUCAACCAGUUGCUUGCUAGGUAAUAGAGAAAUUUGAGUUUUAUGUAUCCGUUCAUUGUUUUCAUUUUUUAGUCUUGGGGUUUUGUAUCUUUUUUUUUUUUUUUUUUUUUUUUUUUGAGACGACGGAGUCUCUCUCUGUCACCCAGGCUGGAGUGCAGUGGCGUGAUCUCCGCUCACUGCAAGCUCUGCCUCCCGGGUUCAUGCUGUUUUCCUGCCUCAGCCUCCCAAAUAGCUGGGACCACAGGCGCCCGCCACCAUGCCCAGCUAAUUUUUUUUUUUUUUGUAUUUUUUAGUAGAGACGGGGUUUCACUGUGUUAGCCAGGAUGGUCUCGAUCUCCUGACCUCGUGAUCCGCCAGCCUCGGCCUCCCGAAGUGCUGGGAUUACAGGCGUGAGCCACUGUGCCCGGCCGGUUUUGUGUCUUUUUUAGAAAAAGGCUUUCCCAUUUGAAGAAUAUAAAAAUAUCCUAUACUUUCUUCUAGCACUUUUAUACCUUUUCUUAUUCAUCAUAAGAUCAGUCUCUGACUCUAUCUUGAAUUUAUUAUUUUACAUGGUAUGGGACAGUGAAAAUCUAACUCUUUUUAGAUGGAUAGUCAGUUGUCUCUGUACCAUUUAUUUAAAUCAUCCAUUCUUUUUCCAUUGAUUUGAAAUGCCUCCUUUAUGAACUAAAUUCUUAAAUAAAUAUAUGUCUAUUUCUAGACUGUCUAUUCUGAACCAUUAAACUGUUUGAUCAUUACUACAAAAGUGCCAUUUUAUUUUAAUUUAUAUAGCUUUUUGAUAUGUUCUGAUAUCCAGUAGAACGCAUAGUAUAGUCUAAUUUUUCUUCCCCCAGAAAUAUCUUUGCAGAUUUUAAGAAUUUCGUCUUUCAGAUAAAUUUCAGAAUAAACUCGCCAAGUGCCUUGCUUGGCACUUAAGUCACAGCCUUGCUUUGACUUAAUAAAUUAAUGUGUAGCAAACUGACAUAUUUAUUAUGUCUUCUUGUAUAUUAACAUGGUAUAUUUCCCCAU
This 7675-nucleotide long non-coding RNA is filed under the name Homo sapiens (human). RNAcentral's name for it is "HSALNT0165981". The record is from RNAcentral. Lineage: Eukaryota; Metazoa; Chordata; Mammalia; Primates; Hominidae.